This 74-nucleotide transfer RNA is filed under the name Loxodonta africana (African savanna elephant). It matches the Rfam family "tRNA". Rfam says of the family: Transfer RNA (tRNA) molecules are approximately 80 nucleotides in length. Their secondary structure includes four short double-helical elements and three loops (D, anti-codon, and T loops). Lineage: Eukaryota; Metazoa; Chordata; Mammalia; Proboscidea; Elephantidae. The record is from Rfam by way of RNAcentral.
CCCUGGGUGGUACAAGCGGUUAAUGCGCUUGGCUGCUAACCAAAAAGUUGGAGGUUCAAGUCCACCCAGAGGGG